This 3354-nucleotide transfer RNA is filed under the name Hevea brasiliensis (rubber tree). The record is from RNAcentral. Lineage: Eukaryota; Viridiplantae; Streptophyta; Magnoliopsida; Malpighiales; Euphorbiaceae.
UGGGAGUAAAUAAAGUUUUAGUUGGUUUUGAUUUCUGCAGUAGUUUUGUAGCAAAGAGAGAGUUUUUAAUUGAUUUGUGCAAUGGCUUUGGUUUGUUGGAGCUGCACCAUUUGUUGAUGUUGGUGGCCUUCAUCCUCUUGAAGGGUUAUUUGCAUGUGUGGUGGUGAGCAUCUCAGGUUGUUGAGUUAGGCUUUUUUGGUAGUUGCUAUAAGAGACUGAGAGGCCAUUAGCUAUACCCUUACCUCCUUCGGUGGCUAUCGAUUAUGAUAGUGUUUGAUGUGUCCUAAAUUCCAACGACCAGUUGGGUUAAUGUUUAUAGGUGGUGGUUUUUUGGUUUGCAAGCAAGUUUCUUAUUUGAUUAGAAAACUUUCCUUCUUCGGCCUUCUAGUGUUCUGCUUCAACUCCAGCUGCGAUAAGACUCGGCAAUGCUUUUAGGCCUCUUGGUGGUUUCGACUUCGUUCUUCUUGGGGUUUGAUUUAUGAGUUUCAAUUUCUCGUAUGUGUUGGGCUCAAACUUCAUUGCCUUUCUGUUGGUAUUGUUGGACUUGAUGUACUUCUAUCCUUUAGCCCUUGUUAAUGCAAUGAUGCAAUUAAAAAAAAAAAGGUUUGCAUAAUUAUCUUAAAGCCCAGAAAUCUUUUGUAUGAAAACUGGUCAAUUUCAAGAAACCCAACCCAAUGUCAAAGCGGUGUCGCUUUCUGCUGUUGGUUGGCGGGCUAUCGAUCAUUGGUCAUCACCUUCUGUCCCAAAAUCUACACUUCUGAAAUGAUCAAUCGCAAUUAAAAUCGAUACGCCAGCUCGAAUAUUUGAUUUUAGGAUUCAUUCCGAUCAACAGGCAAUAUCCCCCGAAGGCUUUGAGAUUUUAUUCAUUUUCUAUCAAAUCUUCUAUUCAAAUUGUCUACAAGGACUUUAAGAGAGGCGUUGUAUCUGUUCGAGAAAUAUUCCAUUAUGAAGUUAUUAGAAUACAAUACUCUUGAAAGCAUAAAUGAGUUCUUAAGCAAUUUAAAUCUUGGAGAACGGACAAUCAAGGGAUGCCUUGAAGCUUACUCUUGUAAACACACUGGAACAGACAAAAAGCUUUCUCUCAGUUUAGAGCACGAGGUAAUAUAAUAUAAUAUAAUAUUUGCUUACUUUUAUCCAAAUCUUCGCUAGAAAUAAAUGCAAAUAGAAAAAAAAAAUGUUUCUGAUUUUAGACUGAUUCGUCUUCAAUUGUCAUGCUAAGGAUUCCUUUGUUUUCCUAAGAAUUGUAUUCUUCACUGUAGACAGAAAACUGUAAAACUACUUUUUUUUUCUUAUGUUUUUAGUAUGGUUUACCAUCUUUUUCUAUUUGUUGAUAUUUGAUCUCUUAUAUCUACAAUCUUAAUAUUUUUUUUGGUGGGCUGUGAGGGUGGAAAUGAUUGGCUUUGGUAAUCAUUUUUUUCUGCAGAUCCUUGACUAUCUUGGGAAAUCUUCAGACGCUGACUCAUCCUCGCCAGCUGAAUACUUGUUAAGCAGAUCCAGGUGGUUACUGAUUGCCUUGUUGCCUAGAUGGGUUUGGCAAAUGUUUAAUUGUUUGUGAUAUUUCUUUGACUGGUUUUCCCUUAUGCUCAUUCCAGCCGAAAGACAUUGAUUUAUCUUGUUCUUACACUCUAUCACAUGUAUCCAGAUUAUGACUUCAGCUUCAUGGGCGACCUGGCAUCCCGCUAUAUAAUCCUCUUUUAACUGCUAUGGGAGUGUUGUCAAAAGGUUUGACAGACGGUUCACAGAACUGUUGCUCUAGGAGGAGCUGAGAGUUCAAGUCUCUCCAUUUCCCAAAUCUAAUCUUGGCCAUUAAUGUGGUUUGCCUUUUUUUUCGAUAAAGAUGUAUUUUAUUUUAUUUUUUGUUGGUUUUGCUUUCAGUUCAUUUCAGAUUUGUACUGUACAGGAAUUAUUACAUGGAUGGCUUAAUGUAUAUUUGCUGUUGUGCUUUCCUUAUAUUAUGAUAUUGCUGUAUAUCUGUGCGAGUUUCAGUGCUAUGAAAGCUCACCAGUUCUUCACAGAGGAAAGCUGGGACACUUUUAAGCAGAUUUUCGACACAUACAUGUUUGAAGCAUCAAAGGUAUUUGACUAAUUGUUUUUCAUUCAUGACAAUAGAGCAAUGCAUGUUACAUCAAAAUUGAACACCCACCCCUCCCCUCCCCAAAAAAGGGAUUAGGGUGGUGAUGUUAUAUUAUGAUUUUUCUUUUGGCCAAUUGCAUUUUUUCUUGGCUAGUGAAAGAAAUUGACUAAUUGCAUUUGCAUUUUAUUGUAUUAUUCAGAUCAAGUCCACUAUUGGUGCAUCUGUAAAAUACUUGUCCUCAGUAACCACCAUUUUUCUCCAUUUUUUAAAAUCUAUAUUCUAUAUCUAUCUCAUUUAUUAUCAUUACUUGUCACCGGUUAUCAGGAUUGUUGUGCGAUUUUCUUUACAUAGAGCAGUGCGCUUAUCUGAACUAUAGCAUUCUGGUCGAUUCUUGCGUGAAUUGAUGAUUGGAGUGGAAAACCUAGUUUGACCAUUUUGACGUGGUAACUAGUGUUUAGGUGGGUUGUCGCAUGAGUUGUAAAGAAAUGAUUGCUAGUGUUUCUAUAUAUUAUUUUUGAGAGAGAUGUGUUGCAGAAUCAUUUGGUUUACUUAUCUUUUGUUGGGAUAGUAAGCCUAAAUGAGUGGCUUUGUCAUGUCUGUUACUGUCACCUUCAUUUUUUUUUCCCUAUUGAUUGUAGGAAUGGAUCAAGGAAAAUGAAGGUGGUUCCUUGGUGGAAACCUUAUUCAAGGCUCUGGAUGAGGUUGUGAAAAUAGCAGAAUGUGAAAUCUACAGCUAUAAUCCAGAUUCUGAUGCAGAUCCAUUUCUAGAGAAAGGAGCAAUCUGGUCUUUCAGUUUCUUUUUUUACAAUAGGAAACUAAAGCGCGUUGUGAGCUUCCGCUUCUGCUGCCUAAGUAACUUGGUGGUGGAUGGAUAUCUUGUGGACAAUUCUAGUUAUGAGGAAGAUGGGGAAAUAUUUGAUGACAUGGACAUGUGAGUGCUGAUAGUGAUGGACUAUUAGCAUGAUGUUCAUAUGUGAAGACCAAUAACAAUGAUCUGUAGUUAUGCUUCUGUCAGUGCCCCUACCCGUGGCACCUAAGUGGUAGGAUUAGCUUUUUUGCUUCUCAAUGCAUGUAGUUACUCUUCUCUUGUUGUAAAGAAAAAUGCUUCUAAAAAUAUAUGUGAAAUCUAGCGGUAGUCUUGUGAUAAGAUGCGAGGAUUCAAGUUUCUACAAGACACUUAUUUCUCCCUAUCUUCUAAAAUAGUGCCAUUUGUUGAUUUUGUAUGUACAUAUGGAACUGCAUUUGGCUCAUAUUUCCAAUAAUGGAAGAUAACAUUCGUG